RNAcentral lists this ribosomal RNA (253 nucleotides) under uncultured bacterium. Its description in RNAcentral is "partial 16S ribosomal RNA". It matches the Rfam family "Bacterial small subunit ribosomal RNA", at positions 524 to 776 of the family's 1533-position model. The record is from RNAcentral.
UACGUAGGGGGCAAGCGUUGUCCGGAAUCAUUGGGCGUAAAGAGCGUGUAGGCGGUCCGGUAAGUCGGCUGUGAAAGUCCAGGGCUCAACCCUGGGAUGCCGGUCGAUACUGCCGGACUAGAGUUCGGAAGAGGCGAGUGGAAUUCCCGGUGUAGCGGUGAAAUGCGCAGAUAUCGGGAGGAACCCCUAUGGCGAAGGCAGCUCGCUGGGACGUUACUGACGCUGAGACGCGAAAGCGUGGGGAGCAAACAGG